UUUCUUCGUUUUCAUGUAAGUUGUGUUUUUUUUUCCGCCUUGUUUUCCACUUAAAACACAAAUGGAAAAAUUGACCGCCUUUGAUGAUUUAUUCAAAAGUCUAAAUUGCAAGUAUCUUCUUCCUUCUGGUAGGGUGCUAAAGUAUCUGCAGAAAGAAAUGAUUCUUUAAGACAAAUAUGUUGGAAAUUCUUUGCACAUGGAACAUUUUUAAUUGAAUUACUGGAGGUGUUAAUUGAUACCUGCAGGGAAGAGUUUAGAGAGCAG
RNAcentral lists this unclassified non-coding RNA (264 nucleotides) under Hevea brasiliensis (rubber tree). The record is from RNAcentral. Lineage: Eukaryota; Viridiplantae; Streptophyta; Magnoliopsida; Malpighiales; Euphorbiaceae.